Molecule: ribosomal RNA, 394 nt
Filed under: uncultured bacterium
Lineage: Bacteria
Description: bacterial SSU rRNA
Rfam family: Bacterial small subunit ribosomal RNA
Source: RNAcentral
UACGCGAAGAACCUUACCAGGUCUUGACAUACUAUGCAAAUCUAAGAGAUUAGACGUUCCCUUCGGGGACAUGGAUACAGGUGGUGCAUGGUUGUCGUCAGCUCGUGUCGUGAGAUGUUGGGUUAAGUCCCGCAACGAGCGCAACCCUUAUUAUCAGUUGCCAGCAUUAAGUUGGGCACUCUGGUGAGACUGCCGGUGACAAACCGGAGGAAGGUGGGGAUGACGUCAAAUCAUCAUGCCCCUUAUGACCUGGGCUACACACGUGCUACAAUGGAUGGUACAACGAGUUGCGAACUCGCGAGAGUAAGCUAAUCUCUUAAAGCCAUUCUCAGUUCGGAUUGUAGGCUGCAACUCGCCUACAUGAAGUCGGAAUCGCUAGUAAUCGCGGAUCAGC